GGUCAGUAUCUGCUGUGAUACG
Molecule: microRNA, 22 nt
Filed under: Parasteatoda tepidariorum (common house spider)
Lineage: Eukaryota; Metazoa; Arthropoda; Arachnida; Araneae; Theridiidae
Description: pte-miR-11961a-5p
Source: miRBase by way of RNAcentral